UACGUAGGGUGCGAGCGUUGUCCGGAAUUAUUGGGCGUAAAGAGCUCGUAGGCGGUCUGUCGCGUCGGUCGUGAAAACUUGGGGCUUAACCCUGAGCUUGCGGUCGAUACGGGCAUCACUGGAGUUCGGCAGGGGAGACUGGAAUUCCUGGUGUAGCGGUGAAAUGCGCAGAUAUCAGGAGGAACACCGGUGGCGAAGGCGGGUCUCUGGGCCGAUACUGACGCUGAGGAGCGAAAGCAUGGGUAGCGAACAGG
RNAcentral lists this ribosomal RNA (254 nucleotides) under uncultured bacterium. Its description in RNAcentral is "partial 16S ribosomal RNA". It matches the Rfam family "Bacterial small subunit ribosomal RNA", at positions 524 to 776 of the family's 1533-position model. The record is from RNAcentral.